RNAcentral lists this ribosomal RNA (460 nucleotides) under uncultured Terrimonas sp. Its description in RNAcentral is "partial 16S ribosomal RNA". The record is from RNAcentral. Lineage: Bacteria; Pseudomonadati; Bacteroidota; Chitinophagia; Chitinophagales; Chitinophagaceae.
GACUACCAGGGUAUCUAAUCCUGUUUGAUCCCCACGCUUUCGUGCCUCAGUGUCAAUAUUCGUGUAGCCAGCUGCCUUCGCAAUUGGUGUUCUAUGUCAUAUCUAAGCAUUUCACCGCUACAUGACAUAUUCCGCUAACCUCCACGGUAUUCAAGACUGAUAGUAUCAAUGGCAGUUCCCAAGUUAAGCUCGGGGAUUUCACCACUGACUUACCAACCCACCUACGCACCCUUUAAACCCAGUGAAUCCGGAUAACGCUUGCACCCUCCGUAUUACCGCGGCUGCUGGCACGGAGUUAGCCGGUGCUUAUUCAUAUGGUACCGUCAGUUGAUCUAGAAAGACCCUUUUUCGUCCCAUAUAAAAGAAGUUUACAAUCCAGAGGACCUUCAUCCUCCACGCGGCAUGGCUGGUUCAGACUUUCGUCCAUUGACCAAUAUUCCUUACUGCAGCCGCCCGUAGG